Molecule: unclassified non-coding RNA, 345 nt
Filed under: soil metagenome
Description: partial contains 5.8S ribosomal RNA, internal transcribed spacer 2, and large subunit ribosomal RNA
Rfam family: 5.8S ribosomal RNA (bases 1-120)
Source: RNAcentral
GAUGAAGAACGCAGCGAAAUGCGAUACGUAAUGUGAAUUGCAGAAUUCAGUGAAUCAUCGAGUCUUUGAACGCACAUUGCGCCCCCUGGUAUUCCGGGGGGCAUGCCUGUCCGAGCGCCAUUGCUGCCCUCAAGCACGGCUUGUGUGUUGGGCCUCCGUCCUCCUCCCGGGGGACGGGCCCGAAAGGCAGCGGCGGCACCGCGUCCGGUCCUCGAGCGUAUGGGGCUUCGUCACCCGCUCUUGUAGGCCCGGCCGGCGCUUGCCGACACAUCAAUCUUUUUUCCAGGUUGACCUCGGAUCAGGUAGGGAUACCCGCUGAACUUAAGCAUAUCAAUAAGCUGAGGA